GAGCUCUGCUAGCUGCCUGGCUGGAAUCUGUUCCGGGUUGGGAGUUGUCAUUGGAGAGCACGUUUUAACCCUCUUCCUCGUGGUAAAUGUGGACCGUUUGUUGUUCGGCAUUUGGAUCGGGAACAAGGCCCGUACCACGCACCUCUAAGAACAAAGAUGGUACCUAUUCACCCUGACCCAGACUUCUUCGACCCCAGCAAGAUGGAAAGUUGGCAUCAGAGGAGCGGAGAGACUCACGUCAUUCUAAGAGUCAGUACUGACUGCUUAAUGCUCCCGCGAGUUCCUCCAGAAGCAACACCCAAGCACGCAAGUGUUGGAUUUUGUCCAAGAGACCAUGUAAUUUAUGAAGGAAGUGUACGUCAUUCACAUUUUCCAGAAAAGAGGACAAAAAACAGGAAGAUUAGCCGGGAGCUAACUGCUGCCACCAAUCCUCCUCUUUUUGCUGAGGAAGUCUGGCCCUGAGCUAAUAUCCGUGCCCAUCUUCCUCUACUUCAUAUGUGGGACACCACCACAGCAUGGCUUGUCAUGCUGUGCCAUGUCCGCACCGGGGAUCUGAACCGGCAAACCCCA
This 570-nucleotide long non-coding RNA is filed under the name Equus asinus (donkey). RNAcentral describes it as "lncRNA (ENSEASG00005026967.1)". The record is from RNAcentral. Lineage: Eukaryota; Metazoa; Chordata; Mammalia; Perissodactyla; Equidae.